AACGUAGGAUCCGAGCGUUGUCCGGAAUCACUGGGUGUAAAGGGUGCGUAGGCGGGCUUUCGCGUCAAGGGUUAAAGACCACGGCUCAACCGAGGGAAUGCGCUUGAUACGGGAGGGCUUGAGGGCGGGUGAGGAUGGUGGAAUUCUGGGUGUAGGGGUGAAAUGCGUAGAGAUUGGGAGGAACGCCAGAGGCGAAGGCAGCCUUCUGGACCGCCACUGACGCUGAGGCACGAAAGCGUGGGGAGCAAACAGG
This 253-nucleotide ribosomal RNA is filed under the name uncultured bacterium. RNAcentral's name for it is "partial 16S ribosomal RNA". It matches the Rfam family "Bacterial small subunit ribosomal RNA", at positions 524 to 776 of the family's 1533-position model. The record is from RNAcentral.